Molecule: ribosomal RNA, 539 nt
Filed under: uncultured bacterium
Lineage: Bacteria
Description: bacterial SSU rRNA
Rfam family: Bacterial small subunit ribosomal RNA
Source: RNAcentral
AAUAGAUACCCCGGUAGUCCACGCCGUAAACGUUGGGCACUAGGUGUGGGUCUCAACCAACGAGACCCGCGCCGUCGCUAACGCAUUAAGUGCCCCGCCUGGGGAGUACGGUCGCAAGACUAAAACUCAAAGGAAUUGGCGGGGGCCCGCACAAGCAGCGGAGCGUGUUGCUUAAUUCGAUGCAACGCGAAGAACCUUACCUGGGUUUGACAUGUCCGGAAAAGCUCUAGAGAUAGGGUGUCCUUCGGGGCCGGACGACAGGUGGUGCAUGGCUGUCGUCAGCUCGUGUCGUGAGAUGUUGGGUUAAGUCCCGCAACGAGCGCAACCCUUAUCCUGUGUUGCCAGCAUUUAGUUGGGGACUCGCAGGAGACUGCCGGGGUCAACUCGGAGGAAGGUGGGGAUGACGUCAAGUCAUCAUGCCCCUUAUGCCCAGGGCUGCAAACACGCUACAAUGGCCGGUACAGAGGGCUGCAAUCCCGCGAGGGUGAGCGAAUCCCACAAAGCCGGUCUCAGUUCGGAUUGGAGUCUGCAACUCGACU